AUGGCAGGCUCUCUGCCCACACCACUGAGGUCCUCAUGGAACCAUGGGCUUCUAGAAGGUGGAGGGAGGUCAAGGGCACCAACAGCCCCUGGACCAGUAAGUGGGGGUUUAGGGGGUCCUGUCCUGUGUGUCUCUUUGAUUUGGGGUAGAAAUCAGCUAAGAGUGCCCACCCAGCUUCCCAGGAGUCUGCAGGUGUUACUGCCAGAGGGCACCCCUUUGUGGUGCAACAGCCACCCACUCUCCAGAGCGCCCCUUGCAAGUGGUGGCCACAGUCUCCACGGUCCCUUGGGGAAUGGCAGUAUUUGCAUCUAUGAUGUAAUAAGUUGGCUACUGAGCCCCACCAUGUACUUUUCUGGGGUGCUGGAUUUCCAGUGUGGGUUCUGCAGCCCAGCAGACAUUCUCCUGAACCUGAGGUCAACUCAACCACACAGUAAGCCACCUUGGGGCACACACACAGACCAUCUCCUCCACAGGGCUCAGCACCUCCUUGCAACAGGAUCAGGUUCUGUGUUUCCUCAGUGGCCAGCCACAAGUGGCAGCAUUUUCAGGUGCUGGGCAGGAUGGCUGAGAAAGCCAGUGAAAGGUCGGGCAAGCAGGAGCCCUGUUUCUGCAGCAGGCCGCUUCCGUGCUUGGCUGCAGUGAGAGUCUCCAGGCCUCUGCACCUCCAAGCUCCAUCCCAGCAGGGAACUGACCUCCUGGCUUCCAGCCUCCAAUGGCUGAACCCUUGUAGCAGACAGCAUUAGCCCCAUUUUACAGAUGAGGCACAGAGAGCCCAAGGAAACAGGACAGAGGGAGAAGAGCUCAAUGUGGGCCUCAGGGCUCUGUCCCUUUAGGUGUCCCAGAUGCUCAAUCACCUGAGCAUGCAGUGUCCUGCACACCCCGUCUUGUUCCCAUGUGAGACCAGGAGCCCUUAAGAAUGGCUGGUGCCUUUCCUGGUGGGUUGGGAGGGAGGAGGCACACUCUCUCCUCUGUGCACACAAUCUAUAGCUGCCUUGUCAUCAUGUCAUUCCCCUGGCAUCCUUGUCCUCUGGUCCCUCCACUGUCUGAUCAUAAGAUGCCCUGGGCCCCAUCAUUAAUCUCUACUUGGGCCAGAGGCCCAUGGCCCUGGUGGCACAGGGUCCAGGUCAGGCAGUGCCUGGCACCAGUGUGUUUUGACUGAAUAAAUGUCUGGAUCAUUCCUCGUCAUUUCAGCCCCUGUUUAGAUUUAGACAGGUGCUUCACCCCAUCAGCUGACUGUCCUGCUGCCUAGCUGACUUCAUGUAUCCCUUUAGGGCAGGGACAAGUUCUACUCGAUAAGCACAACUCUGUUGGAGAUAGUAUCAGGGCUGGGGUGCUGCUCAAGGCCCUUCUGAGCUAGCCACAGUCUCAUUCUGGUCGUUAGAAACCCUUGAGCACUUGGUGCCUGGGGGAGCAGUUGUCCAGCUGGAGAUUUCUCAAGAGUUUCCCAGGUACUUGGGAGUAUGUGGCCUGCUGUUAUGUACAGGACCCCUCCCCUGACAUCACCGGUUCCUUCCUGAGCCCCAGAGUCCCAGCUCCAACACAGUCGGUCUCACGAUGUUGGCAGUAGGGCCUCAGAUGGCACAAUCAUGAUAGGGACAUUCUAGGGAGGGGCAGGGAUGCCACUGCCCACUCAAGCACUUCCUCCCACCUUCCCCACUCCCACCUUCCCCCCUUGCUCCAUUGCAUUUCCUGGGUUGGUGAAGCUCAGAGGCCCUACUGUCUCCAGGUUCUCUGCAAACACUGUUCCCCACAGUGCCCAUACCUCACCUCUUGGUGAAGCUCUGAGCUCCUCCUUUUCCCACUGGAUGGGAUCAGUUCCUCUACUACAAGGAAGGCCCAGACUGGGUUGGGAGAGGUGAGGUUUCCUACUUCUGCCUGGAAUCUUCCCUGCCCACCCUCCCAUGUCUCUUGGGAACAAGUUUUCUUCANNNNNNNNNNNNNNNNNNNNNNNNNNNNNNNNNNNNNNNNNUCUCUUUCUUCCUCUGUUACCAGUGGGUCCUAUUUAAUUCCUCACACUACAGGUUUUGCAUUUUUGAUAUGUCCACUCUCCAUGGCAACCGAGAAAGGCUACUGUGCCUCUCUUCCUCUUCAGUGGGUUUCCUUUGACCACAGCUCUCACAUGGCCAGAGCCCAGCGCCUGAGCUCCUCUCUGAGCUGCCCCUGGAAGCAUUCCAAGUUCCUACCUCGUGUCCAGAGCUGGCCGGCUGAGCUGGUCCCUGAGCUCAGGUGAAUUUCCUUAGCUCAUGACCGAAGUGUCUUUCAAAAAGCAGGUUUACAGGGUAAGAAAGGUGUCAUUGGCGUGGCUGCAAAUGUCCAUGAUUUAGAGCUGACAGCUCCCUGUGCCAGGGUCCAGAGCUGUCAGCACCCAAGGUCUGAGCAGACAGACAGAGACGGUCAGCCAUCUGACCAUUGUGAUUGUGAUGAGCACUGCUUUGUUUUCUAAUUGAGUCAUUCAAAGCAGGCUGUCUGCCACCAAUGCUGCCAGCUCGUUGUGAGACACCCAGUGCCAGAAAGGUCUCUUAUUACCUCCCAUCGUGGGCAUGUGACCCAUCUCCUCUAAUACUUGCUAGGUCACUAUUUUGAGAUACACAUUGGGGCAGUUGGAGUAUGGCAGAAGGGGUGAGGAUGGUGGAGGCAGAGAGACCCAGGAUCAAAGCCUGGCNNNNNNNNNNNNNNUGACGUCUUUGGACAGGUCAAUGCUUUCUGUCUAUUACGUGGAUUGAAUGAUACCCAACUUCCAAGGUUACCAUGAGGACUGAAUUUUUAAAGCCCCAAACUGGGUCUUGGACAGGUCAGUCUAUCUUGGUCUUUUGGCUACCUCAUUUGAAUUAAGAAAGUGACGUGUUUGUUUCCAGCCCACCCGUGGGGUAUCUGAGAUGCUAGUGUUAGAGAAGUCCCAUCGCAGAGGUCAGGCUGAAGAUGCAAAGAAGAUGCACAGAAGGGGCUGCCUGUUUGUAUCUCAGUGCCCAGAGUAAAAGGAGAGAAUAGUGAGGAUGGCUAAGUUAGGGCUGCCCUAGCAAAAUACCACCAACUGUAUGGUAUUUAUUUUCUCAUGGUUCUGGGGAGCAGAAGUCCAAGAUCAAGAGGACAGCAGGUUUGGUGUCUUCUGAAGCAUCUAUUCCUGGCUUGCAGAUGGCAGCCUUCUCACUGUGUCCUCAUGUGGUCCUCCCUCUGUGUUGUAUGUGGCCUAAUUUCCUCUUAUAAAGAUACCUGGUCAUUGGAUUAGGGCCCACUGUCAUCACUAUCUCUUUUAAGACUGUCCCCAAAUACAAACAGUCACAUUCUGUGUUAUUAGGGUCAAUCAGUUCGGUAGCUCAGUCAUGUCCAACUCUUUGCAGCCCCAUGGAUUGCAGCAUGCCAGGC
This 3363-nucleotide long non-coding RNA is filed under the name Capra hircus (goat). RNAcentral describes it as "lncRNA (ENSCHIG00010000280.1)". The record is from RNAcentral. Lineage: Eukaryota; Metazoa; Chordata; Mammalia; Artiodactyla; Bovidae.